GCGGUGAUGGGAGGAUAAACACAGACACAUACACAUGUAUUUAUACGACAGGCUUCUUUCAAUUUCCGCCUCAAAAGGCUUUGGUCGCCCCGGAGAAAUAGUAGGAAACACUUGCAUAAGAUGCCACGCAGUGAGACUGAAGCCGGAACCAUGUUAUUGUGAAGCAAGCUCCUUACCACACGCCUACGCCUAUAUAUGUAUGUAUGUAUAUAUAUGAGAAUAUUUAUAUAAACAAACUUCGAAGCACCUAGUGAGUUGGUAUUUUAUAGAAAAUAAAGGAAGUCUCGAACACAAAAUAGCUGAGUACAAAGCACUCAACCGGAAUUUGAGAGAUACAGGGUUGGACACUGUAAGACCUUGCUAGCCAAUUUUUGCCUCAUCUAAGGGUAUGUACCCAAACUUGUAAGCUGAUUUCACAACUAUUCUGUGUUUGAGACUUCCUUUUAUUUUCUGUAAAAUACACACAAACACACACGCACACACAUACACGAUGGGAUUAAUAUGGUUUCAGUCUACCAAAUUCACAAUUUCGCCUACAAGGUAUUGUUCCCAUGCCGCGAGACUGAAGCAGAAAUCACGUCGUUGGGAAGCAAACUUCUUAACAGCACAAUUAUGCAUGCAUGUAUGUAUGCAUGUAUAUGUGUGUGUGUGUGUGUGUGUGUUGCGGCAAGAGUCAUUGACACCUCUGUGGGAUUGGAUGAAUGGACUAGCUGAACUCUUAUAAAGAGUAGCGUAUUCGUUGACGAAGUCGUAUGAGUCGCUGAGAGUUCAUGGAAGUCGUUGAGAGUUUGUAUUUAUUGGAAUAUCGUGUUUAGUGGAGUAUUUUGCAGUACAUUGUGUGAAGACAGUUAUGCCUAUCCUCGCUUCGUGAAAUCUGUAUAUCCACUAUAUACAAGUAUAUAAAAGUGGCCACGAGUUUAUUCGAAGCUUACGCCAGGCGUUAACUUUUUUUUUUUACAAUAAUCAAAGAAAAAUUAAUUAACAUGGAAUAUUUAUUAGCCUCCGUGGUGCAUCUGCAAGAGCAACAGCAGCAACAGUUAUAGCAACAAUGAAAACAACAACACCAAUACCAACAGUUGCUGGAAUUAAUGUUGAAGUUCAAAAAUACUUCAGGUUUGUUCUCGCCAGACGGCAUUUGCAGAAUUUAGUUAUAACCCAGAAGGUAUUACUUUUUCUGCAUAUUUCCGAAGAUAUGAAGAAAUCUUCAAAGAGGAAUGCAAAAAUUGGACGGACAAUGAAAAGGUACGACUACUUUUAAGAAAAUUAUCCCCUGCCGAACACGAAAAAUAUUGUAACUACAUUCUGCGGAGCUUUUCCUUUUGAACGGGUCAUGUCAACACAAUUUCUAGUCAACUAAACACUUUAAAACUUCGUAUACUGGUAGAAUGUGUCAAAAUAAAACAUUUUUUUCUCUUGGCUUUCUUGAUAAAAUUGUAAUUCGUUUGUUUAACGUAGUUUAAUUUUUCGAAUUUUAACCAAUGAAUCACCUCUAAUUGAGCUAAAAUCAUUUGCUGCGUCUAAAACUGGGACAACAUUCAGUCACUAACCCUAACCCUCACCCUAAAUUUUAGCCUUUCGUUUUUUUUCUUCUUAAUUGUUAAAUUAACUUAAGGAUAACAAUUAAGAAAAAAACGAAAGGCUAAAACGAAAGCAAUGGAAAAUAAAAUUUAGGGUUAGGGUUAGGGUGAGGGUUAGGGUUAGUGACAGGAUGUUGUCUCAGUUUUAGAUGCAGCAAAUGAUUUUAGCUCACUAGAGGCGAUUCAUUGGUUAAAAUUCGAAAAAUUAAACUACGUUAAACAAACAAAUUACAAUUUUCUCAAGAAAGCCAAGAGAAAAAAAAAUGUUUUAUUUUGACACAUUCUACCAGUAUAUGAAGUUUUAAAGUGUUUAGUUAACUAGAAAUUGUGUUGAAAACUGCCGUUCAAAAGGAAAGGAUCCCAUUCUGCCAAAAAUCCACGUGAAAUUUGUUACGACGAAACAAUUAAAUUGUUAUCGAAUUUUUUCAGUGAGAGAAGUUCCCUGUUCAGUACUCGCUGGGAGUGUUUGAAUUUAGUUAAAAAAAGAUGAAGAUUUCGUCACCUAUACCAGAGUCGUCAAUCGAGAAUGCGAAAGAUUCAAACUAAAAGAAUUAACCCCAAACAUGUUCAAAUGUCUAAUUUUUGUUCUAAGGUUAACUGCAAGCAAAAAUGCAGAGAUACUUCUCCGGAUAUUGACAAAAUUGGAACAGGACCUAAUUGAAGAAAACUCUCACAUACAUUGCGUGUUGACCUGUAACGGAUAUGGAAACAGAAAAACGUAGAUCAAGACCCAAUUCAUGCUAUGAGUUUGGAGGUCUACAUUUAAAAAAUAACUGUCCGUUUAAAAAUUUAAAAUGUUUUAACUGCAAAAAAAAAUCGGACAUAAAAGCUCACAUUGCAGAGCAGAGAAAAAAAGGUCGGACGGAAAAAAAUCUGGAAAUGUUUUCUCAACAGAAAGUUUAGGUGAAGCUCAUAAAAGUAAGUUUGUGUACGUAAAAAUUAAUAAUGUGAACGUGAAGUUACAGCUAGAUACAGGCAGUAAUAUUACAAUUAUUAACACUGACACAUAGAGAAAAAUAGGAAAGUCUACAUUAAAAAUUGCGAAAGGUGUCUCAGGAAAAAAUUACAUCUUUUGGGCGAAAUGAUAACUGAAGUUACAUUUAGGUGUUAAACCUUGAAAACGAAAGUUUUUGAGUUAAUUAAUGCAACAAACUUGUUCGGUACUGACUGGAUGGAAUUGUUUAAUUUAUGGGACCUCCCCAUAAAUCUUUUCAGUAUAAAUAUAAAUAGUUUUUCCUUCAGUAAAAACAAGUCGUCAGACGAAUUGAAAGAAAAAGUAAAAAUAUUUUUCCUGAAUUUCUGUCCGAUAAAUUAGUUCUGUGUACCAAAACAAGGGCGUGUUUUCAAAUAAAGAAAAACGUCAGACUAGUAUUUAAACCUAAACGAAUGGUACCCUUCGCAGCGAUGAAGCAAGUCAAUGAAGAACUAGAGAAACUAAAAAAAUUGGAGUUAUCCAAAAAGUGGAAUAUUCUAAAUGGGCAGCACCAACUGUAUAUAUUAAGAAAAUGAAUAAUAUAUUCAGUGUGCGCUGAUUUUUCCACUAGUUUAAACGAAUAUCUUAAAACGUUACACUAUCCGCUUCCUACUCCGAAGAAUAUUUGUGCGAAAUUAAUUUUCUAAAUUGGAUCUCUCUGACACGUACCUACAAAUUAGAAUAGACGAUUAAUGCUCUAAAUACCUAACAAUUAACACACCUAAAGGACUGUAUAGGUUACCAUUUGGUUUAAAAGUGGCACCAGCGAUUUUUCAACGGAUUAUGAAUGCAGUGUUAGCAGACUGUGAAUUCGCAAUUCCAUAUCUGGAUCAUACACUCAACAAAAGCGAAUCCAGGGAUCAAAACAUUGAGCACGUAAAAUAUGUAUUUGAAAAAAUUAAGGAUUACGGCUUUACCUUGAAUGAAGAAAAGUGUGAAUUGUUCUUACCGGAAAUAAGAUAUUUGACAAAUAUAGACGACGACCUGACCCGUCGAAGGCAGACGCAAUCAAAAGUAUGCCUCCUCCGACAAAUAUAGCCACCUUACAAACAUUUUUAGGACUCGCAAAUUAUUACCAAAAUUAUAUCCCAAAUAUGCAUAAGGUUAGAGUUCCACUGAAUAAUUUGUUGAAAAAAGAUAUGAAAUAGGAUUGGACAGAAAAUUGCCAAAAGGCGUUUCACGAAGUUAAAAAUAUAUUAACAUCAUAGGCGUAGAAGUGGCUGUGUGGUAAGUAGCUUGCUUACGAACCACAUUUGUUCGACUAAAGGUGGUGCUCCAGCAUGGCCGCAGUAAAUUAUUGAAACAAAUAAAAG
RNAcentral lists this long non-coding RNA (3863 nucleotides) under Octopus vulgaris (common octopus). Lineage: Eukaryota; Metazoa; Mollusca; Cephalopoda; Octopoda; Octopodidae. The record is from RNAcentral.